UGAGGAAUAUUGGUCAAUGGGCGAGAGCCUGAACCAGCCAAGUCGCGUGAGGGAAGAAGGUUUUAUGAAUCGUAAACCUCUUUUGUCGGGGAGCAAAAGCCGGUACGAGUACCGGAAAGGAGAGUACCCGAAGAAAAAGCAUCGGCUAACUCCGUGCCAGCAGCCGCGGUAAUACGGAGGAUGCGAGCGUUAUCCGGAUUUAUUGGGUUUAAAGGGUGCGCAGGCGGCAUUAUAGGUCGUCGGUUAAAGUUCGGGGCUUAACCCCGUGAUGCCGACGAAACCGUAGAGCUGGAGUGUGAAUAAUGUAGGCGGAAUGCGCGGUGUAGCGGUGAAAUGCAUAGAUAUCACGCAGAACUCCAAUUGCGAAGGCAGCUUACAGGUUCACAACUGACGCUGAGGCACGAAAGCGUGGGGAUCGAACAGG
RNAcentral lists this ribosomal RNA (424 nucleotides) under uncultured bacterium. RNAcentral's name for it is "bacterial SSU rRNA". It matches the Rfam family "Bacterial small subunit ribosomal RNA", at positions 355 to 776 of the family's 1533-position model. The record is from RNAcentral.